AAAUUUAUAUUAUGAAAACAAAUAAAUUGUAUUUGUGAACUUAAUAAUGUUUUUGUUUUAUUGUUUGCUCCAUCAGUAUUUAUGAUACUAGUAUAACUUUUAAUUGUAAGCAUGCUUCAUAUCUUGACUUUCAUCUGGAAAGUGACCAUGAGGAUCGGAAGAAAACAAAACUUUACAACACAAGAGAUGAUUUCAGCUUCCCAAUUGUGAACUGUUCAUUUCUAUGUAGCAACAUUCCAACUAUGCCUGCAUACGGAGUAUAUAUUUCCC
Molecule: long non-coding RNA, 270 nt
Filed under: Mytilus galloprovincialis (Mediterranean mussel)
Lineage: Eukaryota; Metazoa; Mollusca; Bivalvia; Mytilida; Mytilidae
Source: RNAcentral